Molecule: ribosomal RNA, 427 nt
Filed under: uncultured prokaryote
Description: bacterial SSU rRNA
Rfam family: Bacterial small subunit ribosomal RNA
Source: RNAcentral
UGGGGAAUUUUCUGCAAUGGGCGAAAGCCUGACAGAGCAAUACCGCGUGAGGGAAGAGAGCCCACAGGGUUGUAAACCUCUUUUGUCAAGGAAGAAGUUCUGACGUUACUUGACGAAUAAGCAUCGGCUAACUCCGUGCCAGCAGCCGCGGUAAGACGGAGGAUGCAAGUGUUAUCCGGAAUUACUGGGCGUAAAGCGUCUGUAGGUGGUUUAGUAAGUCUAUUAUUAAAGCUUGAAGCUCAACUUCAAAAAUGUAAUAGAAACUAUUAAACUUGAGGAUAGUAGGGGUAAAGGGAAUUUCCAGUGGAGCGGUGAAAUGUGUAGAGAUUGGAAGGACCACCAAAGGCGAAGGCACUUUACUAGGCUAUUUCUGACACUAAGAGACGAAAGCUAGGGGAGCAAAUGGGAUUAGAUACCCCCGUAGUCC